UCAUUGCGAGGCCCUGUGAGACCAGUGCGCGUCAUGGACAGAGUCCCAACACUUCUGCUGGAUUUCUAGUCACCGAGAAAUAACCCAAAAAGGGUCAGAAGGAGCAAUGUGUCUUACCUUCAGAGUCGGAGGACCCUCAUUUGGACAACAGGAGAAACUACGAGGUCUGCGUUGGUUAUGAAGAACAGCUGAAUUUUGAAUUGUAAGAGAAUGUGGCCGCCUGAAUAAAUGAAAAUCUACUAGAGCUCCAAUAACACUCACCAAGAAAUGUCCUUACACCUGAAUUCUCCGCCUAGUUAAGGUGAGGACGGAAUCCUCCCUCCAAAGGACAGAACCAGUCAGUCCUCCCAAAUAAAAUCUGCUCUGAACCUUAAACGAAAAUAGGAGCUUCGGAUCCAGCAGAACUUACUGCUGGAGCUCUGAGGCUCACCAAGAGAAAUGCCAGAGAACAAGGCCCUCUUGGAGGUGCCUUCCACGUGUCCAUGGCAGCACCAGGGUCUGCACUCAGUUGCUCUGGAUCUGCCGACUACACCAAGAAAUAUCAACUGAGGAAAAAUUCACUACAUUCAAAUAGCAGAUAUUUAUUUGGGCAAUGAGAAUUGCAAUUCGGGAGACACAGAUUCAGGCAGAAACCCAAAAUGUGUUCCAAGAAAGACAAAGGAGGCAGGGGUUUAUAAAGGCAAAAAGAAAAAUUACACAGGUUGUUUUGAAAAUUUGUCAUUAGAGCUGGCAAUAACUGUUACUUCUUGGCCAUACACGAUCAGUUGCUAAGGCCAUUUCUACGGUAGAAAGUUCUUAUCUACAGGAGUCAGCACAUUUCUAGGGAGAAGGUCAAGAUGACAACAGCAAAGCACAGUGCAAAAGUUAUAUUCCUGGGGCUGGUCAGGUGGUGUAGUGGUUAACUUCACGCACUCUGCUUUGCUGCCUAGGUUCGCCAGGCCGGAUCUUGGAUAUGGACCCACACAUGGCUCAUCAAGCCAUGCUGUGGUGGCACCCCACAUAUAAAAUAGAGGAAGAUCGGCAACAGAUGUUAGCUCAGGGCCAAUCUACCACACCAAAAAAAAGAAAGAAAAAGUGAUAUUCCCUCUGGUAGAGAGUGGCGUUCCUGCCUGAGCCCCGUUUCCUUAAUGGCCUCCCAGUUUCAUGUUAGCAGCCUUGACAGAUGUGACUCCAUUUUGUCCACAGCGAAAAUAAACUUCCGGUGUUUAGGCCACCUGGUCCGUGGCAUUUCGUCAUGGCAGCCAAGCUGACUGAGAGGAAGGACCCACUCUCCCGGCACACGGGCAGGGAGGGUUUCUCCCGUGUCCCCGGCUCUCUGCUGACCUCCUUGGUCCCCUGCUUCCUGCCGCUAAGGCCGUCUUUCUACGGCAGACCUGGCGGCACCGUCCAGAGGCUCACCAAGGCCCGCCUGGUGUCACAUUCGGUAACAUCCUGUGCGCCACCCAGUGGGCGCUCCAGCCGCUCCAACCAAAGGUUCGAGAACGCACCGGAACGCCCAGGGCUCCCCUCACCUUGCGCCACCCACAGCCUUCCCGCCAAACCCGCAUCCAAUCAGAAAGCGUCACACUCCGCGCAUCGAGCAAAAGCCAAUGGAAAGCGGGAUUCCGGCCAUCGGCCCGCCCCCAGGCGCUCGGGACCAAUGGCCUCGUGACCGCGGGGGCGGAUCUGCGAGCGCGCCUGGCUGGUGAGGCUGCUGGGAGCUGGCUGUGUGGGGCGCGGCGGGCUGGAGCGACGGGGACUCCGGGCGCUGUGUCCCGCGGACGCCCAGGCGGGAGGGGACGGAGCCGCUUCAUGGGGCGGCGGGGGCAGGCCCGGGAGGGUCCGGGUUGAGGCCGCAGGGCGUCGGCGGGGAGCGGAGCCGGAGAGCGUGGGAGGCCCGGGCCGCGACGGAAGGUUCUCGAAGCCCCCAGAGCUGUGUGUGGGGUCAAGUCUACCGGUGUUGGUCAUGUAGAAAUUCAGACUGAGACGCUUCGCAGACGCGCACUUUCAAGCGACACGUGAACAUAAAUAGCGCGUGGAGUCUGAAUCCUCCGCAGGCGGUUCCUUCAAGUCACCGCGCGUCCCACGGAAAAGCAGCGGGUCCAGCGGCGACUCCACACCCGCCCCGCGCUUCCCGACAGCGGCUUCCAGCUGCGCACGGGGCUCCGUCUGCGCCUCCGUCUGUCCAGCUCUGUCUCCAGGGAGAGACUGAACACAUGUGAAGAUCUUUCUGGCCUCAACUGGCUUUUCUUUCUUUUACUCUGAGCACUAAUGGUGAGGAGUCCGGUGACCACAGGUACGGUCUGGUGCCACUACCGUGAUCUGGGCUCAGGCGCCAGCAGUCGUAUCCACCUUUGAUUGUGCACCGUCAGUGCGAACGUCAGCGCAGUGAAGGGACUAGGAACCGCCCAGUCCUGCUAUGAAACGCUUGUCCCUCCACGCGCCCUGGAGAGGUCUGUGGACCCCCAGUGCCUGGAGACUCCACUGUGGUCACUCUGAGGACCGGGGCUGGGGGGUGGCCAGCAACCGUGCCGUUUGCCCCUAGCGCUGCCUUCCCGUCCGUUUGAGUAUUACCUGUUCUUUGCGUUGAGCCUCAUCACUCAGAAGCCACUCCCCGGAGCCCUGCACGUUCGUCCUUCAGACUGUGUCUAUUUCAUCCUGGUGGACAGGUACCUCUCAUGGUUCCUGCCCACAGAAGGCAAUGUGCUCCCCCUACUCUCCUCCAGUCCGGGGGCCCCCAGCCCCUCACCAGCUCCCAGGCCAAAUAGCAUUCCAUGGCGUGUAGACCCCACCUUUUCCUUAUCCAGUCUCCUGUCAACGAGCGUUAAGCUGUCUCCGUGUCUUGGCUUUUGUGAAGGAUGCUGCAGUCACACGGGGCAGAGAUCUCUCCGAGAGGCUCCUUUCGAUUUUUUGGACAUGUACCCACAAGUGGGGUUGCUGGGUCGUGCUAAGUGAAAUGGACCAGUCACCGAAGGACCAGUACUGUGUGAUUCCGCUCAGGGGCUGCUCUGCACCUGCCAGCACGGCUCCCGUCUCUGAUUCCGAGAGUCCUGGUGUGGACAAGACAGAGAGGUCAUCUGGUCAGUCCUUCUCACUUUCCCGAAGGUGAGUGGAGACCGGAGUGUUAACCAGGCUCAUUGACAUCAUGGUGAUGAUAUUAACUCCCACAGCUGUGACUUGUGGAGCACUUCAUGUGUGCCAGUUUCUUUAUACAGAUCAGCUCUUGAAACCCCACAGGCCCCUGGGACAUUAGUUCCCAUCCUCCACACAAGGAAAUCGAGUCUCAUAGAGGUGAUAUGACCUGCCUAGAGUCACACAGCACAGAAGUGGACGAGAUGUAAUUUGAACCAGGUUCCUGGAUUCCAAAUGCCAGAGAUAUGACCGCCACACUGUCGCACUGCCCAAGGCAGGUGCUGUUUAUUGAGUCCUACUAUGUGCUUGGGACUGGGCGAGGCUGGGAGAUACAGAGAUGAGAAGGCAGACCAUUCUGUGGUGUUUUUCAUGUGUCCUCUCCCCUGGGAACCUGGGAGCCAUGUAUCUCCAACACCUCGCACAGAGCUUGGCCCACAGCAGGGCUUCAGUGAAUGUUGGCUGAAGAAUGAAUGAACUGCUGCAAAUGAUAGAAGAAUAAGCAUAUUUUGUGAUUUCUCUGGGGUCUGUCCCCUUGACACUGUGUUCCCAGCACCUGGCACCAUGCCUGGUAGUGGCUCCGUAGGGAGACCAACUGGACCCUGACUCAGGCUUGGACUCCUGCCGAGUGGGUGUUCCUGCACAGCCACAGCACUUCUUGAAGCCUCAGUGUCCUCAUCUGCUCAGUGGGGAUAAUAAUUGCAUCUACUUCAGAGGAUCAGGGAGAUCGCCCAAGUGAAUGCCUGUGUGACAGCACAGGGCCCUCCCAGGAAAAGGCGUCCACUACUGAGCAGGUCAAACUUCAGAUCUUGUCACUAGCUGCCCGAGGAGCCACCUGAAUUGAAGGAAGGCUUAGGAAGGUGGAUCUUGCAGUUUGGUGUGAACUUAAAACACCCAACAGACCAUUGGCAUGGCAUAAUCACUUUAUGUAGAUGAGACAAGCAGGAAGUUGGCACCGCAGUGUCCAGGGGAAGGCGCUGCUGCCUGGUGGCCUGAGGUCAAUCUCAUGUGAAAGCAAUGUGAACCUGGAAGGUUACUGAGCCUCUGCUUCUCAGUUCCCUGGUCUGGGAUGUGG
Molecule: long non-coding RNA, 4183 nt
Organism: Equus asinus (donkey)
Lineage: Eukaryota; Metazoa; Chordata; Mammalia; Perissodactyla; Equidae
Source: Ensembl